This 497-nucleotide ribosomal RNA is filed under the name uncultured bacterium. Its description in RNAcentral is "partial 16S ribosomal RNA". It matches the Rfam family "Bacterial small subunit ribosomal RNA", at positions 28 to 507 of the family's 1533-position model. The record is from RNAcentral.
GACGAACGCUGGCGGCGUGCCUAAUACAUGCAAGUCGAGCGAACAGGUGAGGAGCUUGCGCCGCGCUCGAUUGCGGCGGACGGGAGAGUAACAUGUGUAUACUCCCCUUAUCAGUCUGGGAAAACUACGGGAAACCGGCGCAUAUACCGUAGGAUCUACUGAUCCACAUGGGUCAAUAGAGAAAGUCGGCUGUGCUGGAACUUAUCGCGGCAUCCGCGCCGCAUUAGAUAGUUGGUAAGGUAACGGCUUAUCAAGGCAACGAUGCGUAGCCGAGCGGAGAGGGUGAUCGGCCACACUGGAGCUGAGACACGGUCAAGACGCCUACGGGAGGCAGCAGUAGGGAAUCUGCCGCAGUGGGCGAAAGCCUGACGGAGCAACGCCGCGUGAGUGAUGAAGGUCUUCGGAUCGUAAAACUCUGUUAUUAGGGAAGAACAAAUGUGUAAGUAACUAUGCACGUCGUGACGGUACCUAAUCAGAAAGCCACGGCUAACUACGUG